This 199-nucleotide long non-coding RNA is filed under the name Elaeis guineensis (African oil palm). RNAcentral's name for it is "long non-coding RNA (EGUI_LNC082826)". Lineage: Eukaryota; Viridiplantae; Streptophyta; Magnoliopsida; Arecales; Arecaceae. The record is from RNAcentral.
CCCCCUCUAGUCCUCUCUCUCCCCUCUUCACAUCCAAAAUGUUGGACGUCCAUCUGGUGCUUGUCCAAGGUGUGGUGGCUCCCUGAUUAGAAGGCUAUAGGGAUUUGUCGAGAAGCUGCUGUUUCAGCUUCAGAAGAUCUUUUAAAGAUCUUUCAGAUCAGAUCCAGAUCUGAUUUUUGGAGCAGAGAUUCAUAAGGAG